This is a long non-coding RNA of Ictalurus punctatus (channel catfish), 4191 nucleotides long. NCBI's taxonomy places the organism in Eukaryota, Metazoa, Chordata, Actinopteri, Siluriformes, Ictaluridae. The record is from Ensembl.
GGAUAGGGACAAAACCAGUACAUAGAACAAAUAAAAAGAGAAAAGGGAUUAAAUGCGUCAUUGUGCUGAAAACUACACAGUAAUAUUAGAAUCGAUUUUUUUCCUUGUGGUUAAUUUUCCGGAGUUUAAUCCUCUCUCACCGCACAGUUUCUCGUCAGAUCCAUCGGGACAGUCGUCUUUCCCGUCACACAGCCUCUCAGGUGGUAGGCAGAUGUUGGAGUCAUUAACACACACGUGGUGAGAGAGUUUACACACCAGCGCUUCACAGUUCUCCUCAUCCGAGCUGUCCUCGCAGUCGCUGUCUCCGUCACACACCCACGCCUUACUGAUACACUUCGCUAGGGGACCAAAGGUGAAAGGUCACAGUUAGCAGUGCCGCUUACAUCAAUUCAUCACUCAUACGACUUCAACAUCAACAACGUUUCGCACUCUUCUUCCGUCUCUUUAUUCUCUCUGUCCUCAUCUCUCUCUCUCGUUUUUUCUUUUCCACACUGCUUUACUUUCUUUACUACUUUUUGUGUCUUAUAUUCUUUCUUUCACUCCGUCUUCCUCCCAACUUCGCUCUCUUUUUCUUUUCUUUCUCACUCAUGAUGUAAAACGUACAUUUAAACUUUUAGGUUUUUGUGAACUUUGAAUUCAAGGUUUUAAACACGUACAUAUAUUAAAACGUUCAGCUCCUGCUCAGAAAUGAUGGAUGAUAAUCAAUUCUUUUCAGUCCUAUAGGAUUUUGAAAAUAGCAGGAAAUAAUGAAGACGGUAAUAAAUGGGUUAGUAUCGUACUGGGAGUAAACUGUAUUGCAGGUACAGUUGAUGUACAGAUGAUGUUCCUCCCAGACAGACAGUCACUAAUGCGCAUUAAUUACUCAUGAGCUCAAAACUAACAAAUGUACCAACACGUAAAUAAAGAGCGGCGGUGUGUAUAUAGCACAUCCACUACGCUACGUUACCCAGAAUUCCUCACCAGAGUCUCUGCAGCCGAAUUUGACGGCAGGGUCGCAGAUGUUGGUGACGCCUUCGCAGUUUUUUUCGUCGCUCAUGUCGACGCAGUCGGUGUCUCCAUCACAGCGCCAGCGCAGAGGAAUACACAGACUGUCCAUCCGACACUGAAACUCAUCUGUGUGACAGCCACCGGGGGGACGGGUCGCUGAAACAUCACACGCACAGGGUUACAGACAGAGUGUGUGUGUGUGUGUGUGAAUGAAACACCUUGACAUACACUUUACUGCUGUCACUACUAUAUAUUUAUUAGAAUGAAGAUGAGAGGAUGAUGAGAGGAUGAUUAUGAUUAUCACCGUUGUUGCUGCAGUUGGCGUGGGUCUCGUCGCUGAAGUCGUUGCAGUCGUUGUCUCCGUCGCAGGUCCAGUAAUCGGGGAUACAGCGGCCGCUGUUGCAUUUAAACUGUGUGGUGGAGCAGGAGUGAGGGCAGCCCGCUUCAUCGCUGUUAUCACCGCAAUCAUUAUCUACAACACAACGCAAUUACACAACAACGCUACACAAUCGCCGCGGGAUACACAACACGGUUCAAAAUUGCCACGGGACACACAACAAUCUCUAUUCCAAUCUACUGCAGACUAUUCAAAUAUCACAUCAAUAUAAACUGACUUACAGGCAAGGAAUUUAAAAACAAAAAAACACCGGCCUUUAUUCAUCAAAACAGGUCAUGGGGUGGAGUUCAUUUAAUGUUAUGUAAAUAAUAUGCAAAUGAGGUUGAACCGGGUUGAAUUCUGCUGUACAGUAUACACAUAGGUAAAUAAUAUGCAAAUAAAAUGAAACACAAAAUUCUGAGGACAGACUCUAGGAACUACAGACGAUUUCUAGGAACUUUAAUGAAUGAAGGCCGAUUAAUUAAAUUCAUUAAAAUUCACACACACACACACACACACACACACACACACACAAACAUUUAGACAUUUAAAUAAAGUCAAACACACAAACAACACAAUAGAUAAUCACAGAAACUGCAUAGAUCGGACCAUGCACCAUGAGGAAAAAAUAUAUUUAAAUAAAAAUUUAAAGAAAUGGGAAAUUAUAUCUCUGUAUAGCUGCAGUGUUUUACAACAAAUAUCUACUGCAUUAUGUUAAAAAAGAUUUUUUUUUUAUUACUCUGUAGGAAAAGCUUACAUAUUAAUAAUAUUUACAAUAUGAAUACGUUCAAUAUUUUAUUUCCUACUAAGAAUUUACCAAUAAAAUGAAACUGAGAUCUUGCUGCAAUUCAGGUAUCUAAGUAUCUCAUAUCUAAUAAUUCUUUUAUUUUUUAUUCCUAUUACAUCUGUUUUUAUUUUUUUAUUUAUCUAUCUAUCUAUCUAUCUAUUUAUCUGUAGAUAUUAUGGUGCAUGUUGAUCUAUGCACUAACCGGUCAGGUUGGGACAAUUGAACUCAUCAGAUCCGUCCCCACAAUCCUUUUCUGCAACAGCGAGCCAAUUGGAGACAAGGGGGGGCGGGGCCAAUGGCACAGAGAACAGGAAAUGAUGUAAACACACACACACACAGAUGAAUAAAUGAGGUAACGAACACAAAAACACACACAAAGACAGACACAUGGUAACGACGGAGAUGUGAUGUAGUACUACAAAGACACACACCAACACACAGUAAAACACUAUAACACACAACAAGACACACAAUCACACGUGAGAGAGUUAAAGUGUCUCACCGCUGUCGCAGCGCCAGUUCAUGUUGAUGCAGCGUCCGUUAUUACACGUGAACUGAGUCGGAGGGAAACACGUCGGAUACGCUGGAAAACACAACCACGGUGUCACGGAAUCAGGAACAAUAUACACGGAAUAAACAAGACGCAGGUUCAUCAGAGCGAUCGCCGCAGUCAUCGUCCAGGUCCACACGUCCACGAGCUGGGAAUACAGCGUCCGCUCGCACACGAGUACUGAUUCGCAGGACAUGUCCGAGCUGAGGUCAAAGUCAAGCGUGAUAAAUAUUUAAAUGACCAGCGAUUAAACACAGAAAUAUAUCAGAUAUAAAAUAUUAACAUCUUUAACAGAUAAGCAGAGAGAUGUGUGAUGAUAAAAGAAAGAAAUAAAAGUCUAUUUACUAAAAUUCAUCUUCAGCCUGUAGAUGUGUGCAAGUUUAAACGUGUUUAAUCAUGGACAUGUUUAGCUAACUUUGUUGUCAUCUUUGUUUACGAUAACGAACCCACAAAGUUGUAAUCAUCAACAGACUCGCAUGAAUUCAGUUUGUCUCUGAUGUAAACAGGCAGAGUUUCUAUGAGAUGUGUAUACAUGUCCGGUUAUUACAGGCUAGACCAACGCUUAGCAUCAUUUAGCCACCGACACCAUCACAAGACAUUAAGGAUCUUCUAGAGUUACACCAUAUGAAAGUGUUAGUGUAGGCGAAUAACACACGCUCUUUCUUUUAGCAAUAAUCCAGAAUAAUAAGUGGAGAAUAUUUUAGCGAACGUCAGCCCCAUUCCUCAAUACAAUUCUUCAGAUUCUUCAGUCAGAGUGUAACCAAGUAGCAUCAGGUCGCUAGGCUAAUCGAGUGCUUUCUUUACAAAACCUUAAAGCGGUCCAUAAGUGUUACAAUAACGACAAACUACCGCAAUUCCAUUUGGGAGUCCAAAUGCAGGUGCUACAGCAAAAUUCCUCUCUGAGCUGCACAGCGCUCAGAAACGAACCACCGCUCUGAUCAUGUCACUGUACAAUCGUACUCUCAGGCGCUGUUUAUUUUCUAUAAUCUUCAUUUGUUAUUUACUUAUUUUUGUAAUUAUAACUAUUUUCAUUUUUAUUUUAUUAUUAUACCUGUUAUUUUUAUUUUAAAUUGUGUAUUUUUUUUAUUCUCCUUUAUUAUUAUAUUGAUGCUUAUAUUGAGGGAAUAUUUUAUGUGAACAAUCACGCCAAUAAUUCUCUGAACUGAAAAAAUUGAGAAACAGCAGAUCUUCUCAAUCUGAUGGCAGAGUCAAGUCUCGCUCUCUGUCUCUCUCUCUCUGUCUGUCUCUCUCUCUCUCUGUCUGUCUCUCUCUCUCUCUGUCUGUCUCUCUCUCUCUCUGUCUGUCUCUCUCUCUCUCUGUCUGUCUGUCUGUCUCUCUCUCUGUCUGUCUCUCUCUCAUACAAGGUGACGAGAGCUUAGAAUUUCACGUGAACUAGAGGAGAAAAAUGUGAGGUUUCCUGCAGAGAUCAUCAGCUAAAGGUCACCUGUCUUGCAGAGAAGUCUUUGGGGGGUUUUGUCCACAGUGUGUGUG